Molecule: long non-coding RNA, 980 nt
Organism: Mirounga angustirostris (Northern elephant seal)
Lineage: Eukaryota; Metazoa; Chordata; Mammalia; Carnivora; Phocidae
Exons: 5
Source: RefSeq, a predicted model, not a curated record
GCCAUAUGGCUGCCUUGAGUUAGAUACUGUUAUUAUCCUCAUUUUACACAGGCUUAGAAAAUUUGGGCAUUCUGCCCAGUGUCUCAACUAAUUAAGUCCAAUGCCUAGGACUUGAAAUCAGAUUGAAUCUGACCCUGGGGCCUGUCAUCCUCACCACUACUCUGCACCGUAUUCACCAGAACAGAAGCAACAGUCCUGAUUUUUGUUCUCAAGCUUUAGGUACAGCUUUGGAAGCCGAGAGUGAAAAUGGCAGCCUCUCAAUCUCCACCCUGGAGGAGCCAAGAACUCGGCGCCCCACGCCUCAGUGAGCCCCCAAAGAAAAGCAGUCAGUUCACUCCCGUCUCCGCGGUGUCUGGCAGCACUCCGUGCUCACUUGGCCUGUGACUGAGCGUUUCUCUCUCUGGCACCCGACCCCAGGUGGAGUCUCCAAACCCAGCAGAUCCCUGCAGUGCGCUCCCACAUGGCUCCUCCCAGGAGAAGAAGAAUACAGUCAAAAGAGCUGCAUUUGGGGACUGAAUUGCCAUUUCCCCUUCUCCAAUCAGAACAUGGCUGAUUUUAUCUGAAGAUACCAAAAGCUAUAGCAACAAACAAACCAAGCCCAAAUUUCCUCUGACACCUCUGGUACCUCAGAAGGAGCUUGGGAAUUGAACCUAGUCUUGCAAGUGCUGACUCUGUCACUUACUAGCUCACCAAUGACACAGUCUCUUCUUAACAAAGGAAAUCGAGAGUUUGCAUUAAAAACCAUGGGAUCUGCAAUCUUUCCUUCCUGUAUACAAGAAGGAUGGACAUAAAGAUUAGUACAGAUGCAAAUAAAAGUCCUGCCAAAUAAUCCUAUCACUGCUGUCCUUGAGGUCAGUGAUUUUGACUUUCUGGGUAUCUGUUUAUGUCUCUUCCUCCUCCCCGAUGCCUUCACUUUUCCCUCUAUUACCCUAGCAUUAAACUGUGAACACUUGCUCUCUCAAAGCCUAAAGAAACAUAAC